Molecule: ribosomal RNA, 372 nt
Filed under: uncultured organism
Description: bacterial SSU rRNA
Rfam family: Bacterial small subunit ribosomal RNA
Source: RNAcentral
CGAAGGGUGCAAGCGUUACUCGGAAUUACUGGGCGUAAAGCGUGCGUAGGUGGUUCGUUAAGUCUGUCGUGAAAUCCCCGGGCUCAACCUGGGAAUGGCGAUGGAUACUGGCGAGCUAGAGUGAGGUAGAGGAGAGUGGAAUUCCCGGUGUAGCAGUGAAAUGCGUAGAGAUCGGGAGGAACAUCAGUUGCGAAGGCGGCUCUCUGGACCAUCACUGACACUGAGGCACGAAAGCGUGGGGAGCAAACAGGAUUAGAUACCCUGGUAGUCCACGCCCUAAACGAUGCGAACUGGACGUUGGACUCAAUUAGGAGUUCAGUGUCGAAGCUAACGCGUUAAGUUCGCCGCCUGGGGAGUACGGUCGCAAGACUG